RNAcentral lists this transfer RNA (66 nucleotides) under Muntiacus reevesi (Reeves' muntjac). It matches the Rfam family "tRNA". From Rfam's summary of the family: Transfer RNA (tRNA) molecules are approximately 80 nucleotides in length. RNAcentral also lists the same sequence under 1 other name. Lineage: Eukaryota; Metazoa; Chordata; Mammalia; Artiodactyla; Cervidae. The record is from Rfam by way of RNAcentral.
UCCCAAGUGGCUUAGUGGUAAAGAAUCUGCCUGCCAAGCAGGAGGUGUGGGUUUGAUCCUUGGGUC